AUUAAGGAAAGGAGGCGGGGAGGGGGAGAGCGUGCGCGUGCGCGCAGAGCUGUGACCGAGCGGGUUGGGAUUACGCACGCCGGCGCGCACCCACUGGUCCCCCCCUGAGGCGAUCCGGCGGGGCGCGAGUCGGGCACGCACGGAGAGGAGGGUGUCACGGCUUUUCCCUUCCCCAGGGGAGCCGGAGCCCGAUUCUCUGAAUUGAUGUGGCCAGUACAGCAUUGCUGAAAUAGUUUUGCAGUCGCUGCUGUUUGUGUCCUCCUCUGAUAAUCCUGUAAAGGAAGUCUGAAACUCACUCGACGGGAUAAUUGGAAAUUCUAAAGGCUUUUCUUCACUUAUAAUGAAACCUUAAAAAGUAGAGACGAAAAUAAUUAGAAGAUGGCAGCAGCAAUGAGCAGCAUUAACGAGCUUCCAGAAAAUGAAUACUUUAAAAAGCUAUCAGGACGAGAGUCAAUCUCAGAGAAUGAUCCAUUCUGGAAUCAACUGCUUUCUCUUAGCUUUAACACCCCAACAAACAGUUCUGAAUUAAAGCUUUUGGAAGAAGCUGCAAUCUCAGUCUGCAAGUCUUUAGUGGAGAACAAUCCGCGGACAGGGAACCUUGCAGCAUUAAUUAAAGUCUUCCUUUCAAGAACCAAAGAGUUAAAAAUUUCAGCAGAAUGUCAAAACCACCUCUUUAUCUGGCAAGCUCACAAUGCACUGUUUAUUAUUUGCUGCCUACUCAAAGUGUUGAUCUGUCAGAUGUCAGAAGAGGAGCUGCAACUUCAUUUUACCUAUGAGGAAAGAGCACCAGGCU
Non-coding RNA from Pogona vitticeps (central bearded dragon), 793 nucleotides. NCBI's taxonomy places the organism in Eukaryota, Metazoa, Chordata, Lepidosauria, Squamata, Agamidae. The record is from RefSeq and is a predicted model, not a curated record.